This 241-nucleotide ribosomal RNA is filed under the name uncultured Staphylococcus sp. RNAcentral's name for it is "partial 16S ribosomal RNA". It matches the Rfam family "Bacterial small subunit ribosomal RNA", at positions 99 to 334 of the family's 1533-position model. Lineage: Bacteria; Bacillati; Bacillota; Bacilli; Caryophanales; Staphylococcaceae. The record is from RNAcentral.
CGGACGGGUGAGUAACACGUGGAUAACCUACCUAUAAGACUGGGAUAACUUCGGGAAACCGGAGCCAAUACCGGAUAAUAUAUUGAACCGCAUGGUCCAAUAGUGAAAGACGGUUUUGCUGUCACUUAUAGAUGGAUCCGCGCCGCAUUAGCUAGUUGGUAAGGUAACGGCUUACCAAGGCAACGAUGCGUAGCCGACCUGAGAGGGUGAUCGGCCACACUGGAACUGAGACACGGUCCAG